Tripterygium wilfordii is the source of this 2931-nucleotide long non-coding RNA. RefSeq lists it as uncharacterized. NCBI's taxonomy places the organism in Eukaryota, Viridiplantae, Streptophyta, Magnoliopsida, Celastrales, Celastraceae. The record is from RefSeq and is a predicted model, not a curated record. The transcript has 2 exons.
GCGGUGAUCGGCCCCGGCCGAUGUGCCUAGGGUAUAAUAGGGUCACUUAAUCGGUGACCCAAUUAAGCCCCGACUAGUCGGCCUAGUUGGGGCUAGGCUUUUUUUUUUUUUUAAAUAUCCAUCCAAAAUGACGUCUUUUUGGAUGGAUUUUAACAAAAAAAAAAAAAACAUAGCUGCAGCCCUAAAUCGCGACAGAACCAGACUACCGGUGUUCUUCUUCUUCCUCCCCAUUUUCGCGCCAGAACAACCAGGUUCUUCCUCCCCAUUUUCGAGCUUGAGUAGCAUGGUUGGUUGGGCUUAGGUCAGUGCAGCACACAAAGAGAGGCUUGAAGAGGUAAGGUUUCUAUUGUUUGAUUAUGCAUGUCGAGUCACUGAAAUGAAGAGAUCUGUGGUUGAUAUGAAUCUUGGUCCGUUGGUGAAGAUUGUGAUGACUCGGUGCACUGCAUUCAAUGUAUAAGGUCUAGACCCAGAAUUGCUUAUAUCUCACUUCUUCUUCUUUUCUGUCCAUGUAUUAUGACGUUUAGAGUGCCUUCUUUGAAUUUAUUCUAGGACUGAUUCAUAAAUAGAUAACUGAACAGCACUUUGUUGAGGACACCAAGAUUUGAUUUGAGUAACUGAUACAUUGAUUGGAUUAUCAUGAUAUAUUGAUUGGAUGAUUUUUUGCAUUUAUAUUGUGUUUUUUACACAUUUAUAUAUGAUAUGUAUUGCAUAUAUAUAUAUAUUUUAAUUAAAAAAACUCAAAACGAUUAAUCCGAUUAAUCCCUAGUGCCCGUUAACCUCCUAGCGGUCAACUAGCGAUUUUUACAACCUUGCCUGUUGCCUAAGGAGAUAAGGUUGUUGCCUUGACCAGUGGACAACAAAGCUUGUAUUAGGGUUUCCCUCAAUGUGGUUAAAGGCGAAAGGCACAACCCAUCAAACGCCCGAGGUGCAAGGCGCACGCCCCAAGCGAAGCUAGGCACAAUUUUUCUUUAAAAAAGAUAAAUAUUUGAUAAAACUUAAAAAUGUGGCAUAGUAUAUUUCACUGAUAGUCAAAACUGAAGCUAAAAGGAAAUUGAUUGAAGCAUGCAUUAAUUUGUUCUUUGUCAUUCAAAAGAGCCUUUUAUUAUAGGUACCAUAGUUUUAAACACCCUAUUAUCUAAUAGGGUAAUAAUAUAUAUAUAUUAUCCAGGAUUGUACUGGUAAAGUAGAUUCAAACAGUCAAUGAGUGAAGUAAAGGUAGGUCAGGGCCCAUUUUUCAAAUUCAUAGAUAGAGAAAGAGAAACAUACUUCAGGUGCUUUUUUCUUGGCCUUUAUGCCUCUAUAGAUCGAGGGCUUAAAGUUUUGUACUUCACAUGCUUUUUGUAGCCAUUUUCCCUCUAUAGAACUGGGGGCACGCGCCUAGGGAGUGUUGCACCUGGUCUAAGGCGCGUGUAGGCCAGGCCCGACUGAAGGCAGGUGACUCAGGCUAGGCGAGGCCACGCCUCGCAUGGUGCGCACCUCCAUGCCUUGUGACAACACUUCCUACUACGUCUUCUACAAUGUAAAUGUGUGAAGAGUUUGUCGAAAAAUCAAAAAUUCCUUUCCAACACAGAGUAGAAGAUUCAUGGGAAAUGAUCCACGUUCAAACUUCCAUUUAGUUCCGAAAAAAUAUAAUGCACACAAACAUGUCAAAAUGCAACUUGAGAUUUCUAUUUUCCCAAAAAAAAUAAUCUUUUUAAUGAAAAAAUAUGUUUUCUUCAUGAUACACCAAGCAGGUGAAACCCUAAGAGGAUAGCGUUACUAUGCAACUUCAAUUUUAUAACCAAUUAGCAAACCUCGACACAUGAGAAUUUGAUAAACCCAUAUAAUAUACACAACCACAGAAACCCAUAAGCAAAAACCCCUGAAUGAUCAUAAUGAAAUCUGUAUCACUAAACUACUAAUUAAUCUAAGUUUCGACCACAUAAAGAAGUAAAUAAAAAAACUGAAGAAUAAAGUGGUUUGCUGUUAUAGACGAACCUUAAGUUGGGAGGAGAAAAAUAACAACUCCAGAUAACAACAAUUGCACAGGAAGUUACAUUUAAUCCAAACUAGUAGAGUUAAGGUCAACCUGAACUAGCAAAUCCUUCCAAAAACAUGAACAAAAAUGAACUAGAUACCUAAGUUUAACAUGACCUAGGAACAUAAGCUUGAUGAAAAUGAGCACUCGGAUAUCCUCAUUUGUGUCAUCUGUGCACUUUUGAGUCCCUCACUUUUUCCUAUUCUUGGAUAGGGACUGGAAUUGCAGAGGUUAUUCUGAACUCAUAAAAAGCCGCGUUGAUUUCUCAUUUCUCAUCUGGCCAUUAAUAAAAAGAAAUCUCUCAGGUACUAUCUACUGCAUCUAAUAUUUUUUAUCGAAGGGCUCCCAAAAGUUUUCAAAGGGAAUUCCCAUCAACUUGCUAAUAUCUGCCUCCUCUCUAACAAAGAAUAAACUAAAUAGAAUAUAUAAAUAGCCCUGGACAAGUAAACCGCUAACUGAUAAGCAAAGCCAAACCUAAGUGACCCCAUUUACCUAAAUUUAGCACAGAAAGAGGCAACUAGAAUUACAUAUACAACACAACUCCUUCAAUUCCCCUAGUUUUUCCAUAUGCGUCGAAUCUUUCACCAGCUAAUUGCAAUAGUUUACACUGAAAUGACGGUCAAGAUCCUAGGACCAUCUAGCUGACUGCUGAUUGUUUGGGCAUUGACAGACUAAAAAGCCAAUUCUGACAAACAAUAAAAGAAAAAAAAAUUUCCAAGCAGCAAGAAGUCAUCAAUAUCAGUUGACUAACAAUACCAGACGGAAAAUCUUCACAACCUCGACGCAUAUGUAGGAGCACGAGCAAAAAAGCAAUGAUCACAGAUUAACAACGCGGGACCGUAAUGCAUAUUAUAGCCCUAGUUAAAUAAGACCCAAUGACAUCAAACUUCACCAAAUUUUAUAACUUCAAAUAA